This is a long non-coding RNA of Oncorhynchus tshawytscha (Chinook salmon), 721 nucleotides long. NCBI's taxonomy places the organism in Eukaryota, Metazoa, Chordata, Actinopteri, Salmoniformes, Salmonidae. The record is from Ensembl.
UUGGGGCAACACAGACGGGUUGGUUGUUUAGCGACAAAACCGGGGCGUGCACAUCUCUGGGGCAACACAGACGGGUUGGUUGUUUAGCGACAAAACCGGGGCGUGCGCAUCUCUGGGGCAACACAGACGGGUUGGUUGUUUAGCGACAAAACCGAGGUGUGCGCAUCUCUGGGGCAACACAGACGGGUUGGCAUAAACUGUGGACAACAUGUCAAGUCUCAAAUGUUUACUGAAAACAUUAAUACAUUUGUACAAUGAGCACUUGUUGUCUCGCAAAUAUAUUGUUGCAGUUGUUGGUUAGCUAGCUAGCUAUUUUGUUUGUUGCCAUAUUAGCAUUGACUUGAAAUCAGUCAAACAAAACAUGGUAUCAACAACAUGAUACUACGAGCUGAAACGACGUUUCCCCACAUGUCAGAUUCUUGUCAUCGUUUCACAACAAAACGUGUAUUUCUGGCCCCAUUGAAGCACAUCCUUUUGGUGACGUUGUCAGCUAACCCGUCUACAGAUGAUUCUGUAAACAUGAGUCUCCUGUUGUCGGCACCAUGUUGUUGGUUCUAAACCCCCCUCCGAAACUCUCUGGAUGUGCCCCAACGUCAGAGACAGACCUGAAUAAAAGCAGACAGCGAGCAGCUCCCCUGAUCAGGAUCGACCGGAAGUUCUGACUCACAACGUCAACAUCUCCCCUCCCCUCCUCCCCUCCCCUCCUCCUCUCCCCUCCUCA